Long non-coding RNA from Pyrgilauda ruficollis (rufous-necked snowfinch), 532 nucleotides. RefSeq lists it as uncharacterized. The record is from RefSeq and is a predicted model, not a curated record. The transcript is spliced from 3 exons. NCBI's taxonomy places the organism in Eukaryota, Metazoa, Chordata, Aves, Passeriformes, Passeridae.
GGCUGGCUCUGGGGGUGCCUGGGGUCCCAGCCCCUGCCCCGUGCUGCAGACGGAGCGUGCCGAGGAGGGCGAGGCACGCCGGGGCGUCAGGAGGAGCGAGUCGGUGGAGAAAGCCCAGGAGGCGGCCACGCUGAUCGCGCAGAGAGCCGUCAACCCCCGCGACAUCUUCAAGCAGAGGGAGAGAGCGGGGCCGGGGGACACGGGGCUGCCAGCACAGCCAGGGAAGCUGCGCAGCCCCUUCCUGCAGCAGGAGCUGAACUCGGUGCCCAGCCCUGCCUCCCCCAGCCGGGAUCUCUGGGGGUCCCCCCCGGCCUCCCCCGUGCCUGCAGCAGGUACCUGCUUGGCUCCCUGCUCUCCCCAGAGCUUCUCUCCUCGUUUUGCCAGCUGCAUCUCACAAAAUCGGGCGUUUGGUGUGGAGGUUUCCAGCUGGUUUUCCCCUGGGGGCUUUGCCUGAGCGCGAUGCUGAGGAUGAGGAUGGUUGCUGCCUGUCCUCAGCUCAGUGCCAGGGGGAUGGGGAUGUCUGCUGCUGGGA